GGAGGGUCCGAGCGUUAUCCGGAAUCAUUGGGUUUAAAGGGUCCGUAGGCGGGCCGUUAAGUCAGGGGUGAAAGUCUGCGGCUCAACCGUAGAAUUGCCUUUGAUACUGGCGGUCUUGAGUCGUUGUGGAGUUGCCGGAACAUGUGGUGUAGCGGUGAAAUGCAUAGAUAUCACAUAGAACACCGAUCGCGAAGGCAGGUAACUAACAACGUACUGACGCUGAUGGACGAAAGCGUGGGUAGCGAACGGGAUUAGAUACCCCGGUAGUCCACGCCGUAAACGAUGGAUACUAGCUGUCGGGACUUCGGUCUCGGCGGCCAAGCGAAAGUGAUAAGUAUCCCACCUGGGGAGUACGUUCGCAAGAAUGAAACUCAAAGGAAUUGACGGGGGCCCGCACAAGCGGUGGAGCAUGUGGUUUAAUUCGAUGAUACGCGAGGAACCUUACCAGGGCUUAAAUGUACAUUGCAUAGCGUAGAGAUAUGCUUUUCUUCGGACUAUGUACAAGGUGCUGCAUGGUU
This 518-nucleotide ribosomal RNA is filed under the name uncultured Flavobacteriaceae bacterium. RNAcentral's name for it is "bacterial SSU rRNA". It matches the Rfam family "Bacterial small subunit ribosomal RNA", at positions 527 to 1050 of the family's 1533-position model. Lineage: Bacteria; Pseudomonadati; Bacteroidota; Flavobacteriia; Flavobacteriales; Flavobacteriaceae. The record is from RNAcentral.